Molecule: non-coding RNA, 939 nt
Organism: Podarcis lilfordi (Lilford's wall lizard)
Lineage: Eukaryota; Metazoa; Chordata; Lepidosauria; Squamata; Lacertidae
Source: the annotation of a GenBank genome assembly
CCUCAAUAUAAACUCAAGCCUAUUCAGAACUAUUUAAGAAUUGCAAUACAAACUUAAGUGGCAUUAGCAACAUAUCAGAUGUGCAGAACCCUCAGACUGGAUGCAGAGUGACAGAAACAAGUUUACUGAAACAUUGGUGGAAUGACAUACCCAGAUUGAGAUUAGAAAGUUGUGCUGGCCGAAUGUAAGGUUGAUGGAGAACAACUUGCUUCAGUUAAAUGUAUUUGCAGUUUUAAGAGUUUUGUAACAGAAGGCAGCUUCCAAAUCACUACCAGUACACCCAAAGCAAUGGUCUCUGACUAUAACAUAGAUGUAAACAAGCAUUUUUGGUACUUGAUAAUUUAGACUUCUCAAAAGGAUUACAAAUAACCAGCAUUAUUUUCCACUUUAAAGUUAAGAGCGAGAACUGGACGCUUCAGUUCAAGCCAGAAGCCACCACACCCAAUGUGACAGAUGGGUGUGGUUUGGGUUAAGCAGGCCAAACUGGAACUGUGAUGGGCUCCCCAGCCAUGAACAGAAUUGAAAUUUUAACAUGUAGAACACUAUUCUUAAACCGGUAGGUAAGGUAGUUAGGUAGGUAGGUAAGUAGGUAGGUAGGUAGGAAGUAAGGUAGGUAAGUAGCCUGAUCCAAGGUGGUUUGCAACAGGAGCAGUAUCACCAUGCAAAUAUAUGGUAAAAGAGUAAGAAAUGGGUUGCCAAAUUCAUGUUUGGGUUAAAAGCGGGUCCUGGGCCUGAAAAGGUUGAAGAUGCCUGUAAUCUAAAGUCUGUAUUUGCUCCUCACAAACUUACCAAGACUACAAAAUCAGCAGGUACUCUUAAUCCAGCGUGGUUUGGGGGCUCAUCCACUUAGCACGCAGAGUUGAUCUGGUGCAUAGUUUCCCCCCCUUCAAGCAGUAAGGUCUCGUAACAACUUUUCCAAAUAAACUGAAUGGCUACAAA